Molecule: unclassified non-coding RNA, 312 nt
Filed under: plant metagenome
Description: partial contains 5.8S ribosomal RNA, internal transcribed spacer 2, and large subunit ribosomal RNA
Rfam family: 5.8S ribosomal RNA (bases 1-105)
Source: RNAcentral
GAAAUGCGAUAAGUAAUGUGAAUUGCAGAAUUCCGUGAAUCAUCGAAUCUUUGAACGCACAUUGCGCCCUCUGGCAUUCCGGGGGGCAUGCCUGUCCGAGCGUCAUUACGCACCCUCAAGCCCGGCUUGUGUGUUGGGCCCCGGCGUCUCGUUCGCGAGACGGGCCCGAAAGGCAGCGGCGGCGUCGACCCGAUGAGCCCGAGCGUAUGGGGACUUCUGUCACACGUUCGCGGUGCGGACCGGCGCCUGCUUGACUUUUCUGAUUAUCCAGGUUGACCUCGGAUCAGGUAGGGAUACCCGCUGAACUUAAGC